Molecule: long non-coding RNA, 885 nt
Organism: Microplitis mediator
Lineage: Eukaryota; Metazoa; Arthropoda; Insecta; Hymenoptera; Braconidae
Exons: 3
Source: RefSeq, a predicted model, not a curated record
GCAUUCAAACCAUCAAUAGUAAGACCACGCUCCAGUUGUACUUCAGCACCUAGACCAAGUCCUAAUUUACGUACAGUGCACCAAUGUCGACGCCAAGUUUUCCACGAAACAAAUGACCUUUUUCUCAUCAAGUUACCAGGCAUCCAGUAAAACUCUACCCUACCUGUGUAAGUGCUGAUGUACUGGAUCGAUUUACAAAACGUAUACAGACGAAAGGGCAAUGAAACUCCCCACUCUGUUACUUUGAUUUUUCCCCCAGGUGUCGCUGAUAACGUACUUGUUAUCCUGGCUGUAGAGUCCAGUUAUGCUACUUCAUUAGAAAGGAAUGACCGAAAGAAGCCAUGGAACUAGAAAUUUGUCAUAAUUUUUAAAAUCUCUAAGCCCAUAAAAACGAUAUAAGUUACCAUACAAAAAAUUAAAACUUAAGUUAUUAGUUUCGAUUUAUUCUAUAGGUUCAAGCUGUCGCUUCUUUUAAGUGAUAAACAAAUAAGAUAUGGAAGUAAAAUUUUUCGUUUUAAAAAUUUCUAAACGAGUUCAUCAAUUUUUCUUAUCUUCGGACUUGACCAAAGUAAUUGUCUAAAAAAGUGAACGAAAUUUCAUUAGUGUCCGAUAAAAAUUAUAAGUACUGUCGUCAUAACGGCGCCUUGUAUUUAUUACACAUAGAUAGUGAACCAAUAAUAUUUUUGGAACCUACUCGACAAAAUAAAAUGUAAAAAUUUUGUAAAAGUUGCGCUAUAAAUACAAACGCAAUAGUUAUUGUUAUAAAAUCUAUUAUAAAUUAAUAUCAAUAACAAUAUGUAUGCAAGCCGCAUAAUUUAAGUAUAAUAUUAAUAUAAAUUAUAGAAUUAUAAUAAAUAUACGUCAUGGAAAAUUUUAUUAUCGAAG